Lagopus leucura (white-tailed ptarmigan) is the source of this 456-nucleotide long non-coding RNA. RefSeq lists it as uncharacterized. The transcript has 3 exons. Lineage: Eukaryota; Metazoa; Chordata; Aves; Galliformes; Phasianidae. The record is from RefSeq and is a predicted model, not a curated record.
CAGAAAUGCCAGAACACUAAUCCCUCAGAGCAAAUCUUCUCAUUGCUACACUUUGACUAACAUGUUGCUGUGAACAGGACCUGGAAAUGAACAUGUCUGUUAGAUGUGGAGCUUCACAUGUUGCCAUGCCUUCUAAAGAUGUCCACUAAGAACCUGUUUGAAAGUUCAUGAUAAAAAAAUCAUGUGUUGAGGCAGAAGGGUGGGAAGAGACUUUUCCAGCUGAGCUGCAUCUUCCUGGAGCAGGGUGACCCCUAGGGGCUUCUAAGAAAAGCUGGCAAAGAAUUCGGGCGUUGGUGCUCUGCGCCGUGCUCUACCUUGCAGAUUUGCUGUCCUUGGAUUUUACCUACUGGUAUCCCCAGCCUGAACUCUUUCUGUAUGUCGAAGGAUACGUUCCCAGCAAUACUGUCUUGUCUUCCAAAGGGAUAUCCAAUAAGUAGAAUAAAAUGUUUUAACUGA